Molecule: ribosomal RNA, 449 nt
Filed under: uncultured cyanobacterium
Lineage: Bacteria; Bacillati; Cyanobacteriota
Description: bacterial SSU rRNA
Rfam family: Bacterial small subunit ribosomal RNA
Source: RNAcentral
AGAGUUUGAUCCUGGCUCAGGAUGAACGCUGGCGGUCUGCUUAACACAUGCAAGUCGAACGGAAUCUUUCGGGAUUUAGUGGCGGACGGGUGAGUAACGCGUGAGAAUCUGCCUUCAGGUUCGGGACAACAGUUGGAAACGGCUGCUAAUACCGGAUGUGCCGAGAGGUGAAAGCUUAAGUGCCUGGAGAUGAGCUCGCGUCUGAUUAGCUAGUAGGAGUGGUAACGGCACCCCUAGGCGACGAUCAGUAGCUGGUCUGAGAGGAUGAUCAGCCACACUGGGACUGAGACACGGCCCAGACUCCUACGGGAGGCAGCAGUGGGGAAUUUUCCGCAAUGGGCGCAAGCCUGACGGAGCAAGACCGCGUGAGGGAAGAAGGUCUGUGGAUUGUAAACCUCUUUUGAUCGGGAAGAAGACAGUGACGGUACCGAUCGAAUCAGCUCGAUGGG